CUCAAUACACCUAUAUAUCUACCAAAAAAAACUCUUUCUGAAUAUCUCUCUCUCUCAGACACACAGUAUACACACACGCACACCACAUUCUCUCUGCACUCCGUCGUUCACCAAUGCCGCCUUCAACCACCGCCGUCCCCGCCGUAAGUAAUGAUGUGGACCCUACAGUCUGGAAAGCAAUCGCCGGCAACUCUGUCGAAAUCCCAACCGUCGGUACCAGGGUUUACUACUUCCCGCAAGGACACGCCGAACACGCCAACUGUGGGUCCCCUAUUUUCCUCUCCUCUCUUAUCCCUCCGUUUAUUCUCUGUCGCGUACUCUCCGUCCGUUUUCUCGCUGAUUCCGUUACCGACGAGGCUUAUGCUAAAAUUUUCCUGCUUCCGAUUAACCAGAGCGAGGAUAAUAACAACGUUGCUGUGAAUAUGAAUGGUGACGUGGAGGAUGCAGAAAACGAAGUCGUUUCAUUCGUUAAGAUUUUAACACCUUCGGAUGCGAACAAUGGGGGAGGUUUUUCUGUGCCACGGUUCUGCGCUGAUUCGAUAUUCCCUAGGCUCAAUUUCGUGGCUGAACCGCCGGUUCAGAAUUUGUCUAUUCGCGAUAUUCAUGGUUGUGUAUGGGAGUUUCGGCACAUUUAUCGUGGCACGCCUCGCCGGCAUUUGCUAACUACCGGCUGGAGCAAGUUCGUCAACAGUAAAAAGCUCGUCGCCGGUGAUUCCGCGGUUUUCGCACGGAAAACUAACACCGGAGAACUUUACGUCGGAGUCCGACGAGCCACACGAGGAAACGACAUUUGCGAGAGGUGGAAUUCUACUGUUUUGAGAAGUACUGAACAAACCAGUAGCGGCGGGGAAGUUCGUUGGAGGACUGGGCAGGGGCGUGUGGCGACGGAGGCGAUUGUGGAGGCAGCAGAAAUGGCAGCACGGGGAAUGGCGUUUGAGGUGUCGUGUUAUCCUCGGGCAGGCUGGGCAGAUUUUGUGGUGAGGGCAGAAGCGGUAGAGGCGUCGUCAACUGUGUUUUGGACCGUCGGUAUGAGGGUUAAGAUGGCUGUGGAGACGGAGGAUUCAUCUAGAACGGCUUGCUUUCAAGGGACUGUUUCAUCUGUCAAUUUGCCUCAAAGUGGCCCUUGGCGUGGUUCUCCAUGGCGAAUGCUUCAGAUCACUUGGGAUGAACCAGAAGUUCUUCAGUAUGCUAAGAGGGUGAAUCCUUGGCAAGUUGAGUGUAUUCUUCCAACCCCGCAGCUUCAUUCCGGAUUUCCUCCAUCAAAGAAGAUAAAACUGCCAAAUGGGUUGUUACCUGAUGGAGAGGAAAAAUUCUUCUUCCCUAUGACAGGGCUAAGUAAUCCUUUGAUUGGACUUUGUAGCCCAUCAUUGGGCAAUUAUACAUCUUUUCCUGCAGGCAUGCAGGGAGCCAGGCAAAAUCAAAUUUGUGUAUCAAGUUUAUCCAAUGUUAAAAGCAAUAACAACUUUGGGUUGGGCACUGACAAUAGCUUAGAUGAAGAAUUCAAGCCGAAGCUUGAGAGUGUAUCCACAAAGCUGAACAUUGGCAGUUCAUAUUCAGACAACUUCUCUCCGGAUAGUCAGAGCAGUGUACAUUUUUGGGACAAUGAGCUGGUUACAAAACCGGGUUCCAGCUCCUUGACAAAAGUUCGUAUCAAUUCUUUCCAGCUAUUUGGUAAGGUCAUCCAUGUUGAACCUGUUGAAGGAGGUUUUGAUGGUUUCGGCUGCUCUGAAAAUGAUAGCAUUGAAGUGUUUAAAGAGAUAGAUGGUGCAGUCAAGUCUAACAUUUCUCUGAGUAAACCUUAUAUCGAGCUGUUUGACAGUAUUGAUGUCCAACACCAAAGAGCCUCUGCUGUCGAAGCAUGUUCCUUAUGAGAUAGCUAUGAUCCGUAAUUACCAUCAAUCAGGAAAGCUGUACAGGGUCGGCAUAAUCAGCAGUUUGGGAUAUUCUGGUUACUGCUCAGAGGAGUGUAUCCAAGGAAGGAGCGGAUUCCAGCAGUGGUUCCAUUGUGGAUUUUUUCUUUCCCUUGGAGAUUCAGAACUAGUGCACGCUUGUCUUAUAUGUUAGAUGUCAAGUAAAUAUGUGUUUGCUUGAUAGUGAUGCCAGUGCAUGAGAUUGUAUUCUAUAUGUUCCUGUUAAUACGUGUCUUGAAAAAUAACCUAAUGUCCAGUUAGCCUUUUAGAUGCAAAGUUAGAAUUUUCUGUGGA
This is an RNA transcript of Nicotiana attenuata, 2204 nucleotides long. It is a transcript of the gene named auxin response factor 17, with no coding region annotated. The transcript has 4 exons. The record is from RefSeq and is a predicted model, not a curated record. Lineage: Eukaryota; Viridiplantae; Streptophyta; Magnoliopsida; Solanales; Solanaceae.